RNAcentral lists this ribosomal RNA (253 nucleotides) under uncultured bacterium. RNAcentral describes it as "partial 16S ribosomal RNA". It matches the Rfam family "Bacterial small subunit ribosomal RNA", at positions 524 to 776 of the family's 1533-position model. The record is from RNAcentral.
UACGGAGGGUGCAAGCGUUAUCCGGAAUCACUGGGUUUAAAGGGUGCGUAGGCGGAGGAUUAAGUCAGUGGUGAAAGCUGGUCGCUUAACGAUCAAACUGCCAUUGAUACUGAUUUUCUUGAAUUGGGUUGAGGUUAGCGGAAUGUGACAUGUAGCGGUGAAAUGCAUAGAUAUGUCAUGGAACACCAAUUGCGAAGGCAGCUAACUGGGCCUUGAUUGACGCUGAGGCACGAAAGCGUGGGUAGCGAACAGG